CGCGCGCGGAGGCCCUGCGGGGCCCGGGCUCCGGAGGAAGGGCGGGCUCGGCGGCGCCCCCCUGGCGACAGAGCGAGGAAGGGCGGCGGGGGCCGGCGCCGCGCAGAGGACGCCGCUGCGUCCCGGGGCUCACCGCGGGCGGGAGUUUGAGGACUGAAGCGGAGAAAUGCGGUCCCGGUUCGAGACGCUGUGCCACGCGGAACCUGAAUGUGCGUGUCUUCGCGGCUUCAGCUCCGAGGACGGCCGGGGGAACCACCGCGUCCCCUCCGGACCUUCCGCGCGAGCUUCUGCCGUCGCGCGCGGGCGCCCGCUGUGGAUUUUUCUGGCUGGCCUUGGCCACUCGGGGCUCCCAGCCGCGGGCAAAGCUGAGGUGCGACCUGGACGGAACAAGGGUCCCGGAGCCGUGAGCGCCGAGGGGGAAGGCCGGAGGAGAGCGGCCCCGGCCGGAGCGCGCGCUGUAGCCAGCUUUCCGCCGGGCGAGGCCGCUGCGGAAGGAACCUGCAAAUACGGCCGCGCCUUCGGUUCAGCGGGCUGCCUGGAACCCAGGACCGAGUGUAAAGGAAAUCGAAGGCUAAGCUCAUCACGUAUAUUUUUAGAACCUCCCUUCUUCCAGGAAUCUCUCCUCUCCACCUCCUCCACCAGUAGAUGUACGCCGGAAAACGCUUCACCUCCAGCCCAGCAGCGAGAAGAGAAGACCAGAAGUGUGGGGGUCCGGGAUAUCCGCUUUCGGGCCUCGCCCCCAGCGACCUCACUUCCGCCCAGCAGGCCCCUCCCCUCGAAGACUCCCCCACCUCCACUUGAGCCGCAGGCUGCGGACCGAGCCCCUAGCACGUCGGCCGGGUAGGGGGGAUAUUGAGGAGGCCACCCUGACGGCAGCCGCCCCAAACGCUGUCUUUCUGGCCUCAGGGUGACCUUGAGCGGUCCUGUUGCGGUACGCAGGCCGGGAGAGGCCCGAGGACGUGUGGCAGGGUACCAGGGUCCCCUCGCCCAGGCCUGGUGACGACUCCCACGUCCAGGUGGCGUGGCCACCACCUCCCAGAGCGGACCCUGGGAAGAGACCCGGCUAAGGCGUAAACGGGCACGGUGUCAACGUAUUCCCUGUAGCUGGGCGCUCCCCUCCUACCCACGGUUGGAUGACCACGGGGCCCGCGAAACCCCCGCUCUGCGGGUGGACCCCAAGUGAGCAGCACAGGUCGACAUCCGCUGACGGCGCACACGGUGCCUGCGUCACACCACCACGAGCCUUAUCAAUAUUCCCAUUUCACGGAGGCAGAAACCGAGACCUAAAAAGGUUAGUUUCUCGUCCAAAGCUGCAUAACAACAGGUAAAUCUGGAAACUAAGCUAAAAUAUAUUAUUUUUGAGCUGAUCGAACUCGAGACCUUUCCCUUGGGAGGCAGGCGGUGGAACC
This 1409-nucleotide long non-coding RNA is filed under the name Heterocephalus glaber (naked mole-rat). RNAcentral's name for it is "lncRNA (ENSHGLG00000033053.1)". The record is from RNAcentral. Lineage: Eukaryota; Metazoa; Chordata; Mammalia; Rodentia; Bathyergidae.